Molecule: transfer RNA, 68 nt
Filed under: Marmota monax (woodchuck)
Lineage: Eukaryota; Metazoa; Chordata; Mammalia; Rodentia; Sciuridae
Description: tRNA.Ala
Rfam family: tRNA (bases 5-65)
About the family: Transfer RNA (tRNA) molecules are approximately 80 nucleotides in length.
Source: RNAcentral
AGGAUGUGGCUUAAUGGUGGAGCGCUUGCCUAGCACGUGUGAGGUCCUGGGUUCAAACCCCAGUACUG